GGGAGUAUAGUUCAGCUGGCAGAACGUCGGUCUCCAAAACCGAAGGUCGGGGGUUCGAAGCCUUCUGCUCCUG
RNAcentral lists this transfer RNA (73 nucleotides) under Paludibacteraceae bacterium. RNAcentral describes it as "tRNA-Trp". It matches the Rfam family "tRNA". Rfam says of the family: Transfer RNA (tRNA) molecules are approximately 80 nucleotides in length. Their secondary structure includes four short double-helical elements and three loops (D, anti-codon, and T loops). Lineage: Bacteria; Pseudomonadati; Bacteroidota; Bacteroidia; Bacteroidales; Paludibacteraceae. The record is from RNAcentral.